UACGGAAGGGGCAAGCGUUGUUCGGAAUCAUUGGGCGUAAAGGGCGCGUAGGUGGUUCUGUAUGUCUACCGUGAAAGCGUACGGCUCAACCGUAUUUUGUCGGUAGAAACUGCAGGACUUGAGGCUGGGAGGGGCUGGUGGAAUUCCCUGUGUAGCGGUGAAAUGCGUAGAGAUGGGGGAGAACACUCGUGGCGAAGGCGGCCAGCUCGACCAGUUCUGACACUGAGGCGCGACAGCGUGGGGAGCAAACAGG
Molecule: ribosomal RNA, 253 nt
Filed under: uncultured bacterium
Lineage: Bacteria
Description: partial 16S ribosomal RNA
Rfam family: Bacterial small subunit ribosomal RNA
Source: RNAcentral